UGGGGAAUAUUGGACAAUGGGCGCAAGCCUGAUCCAGCAAUGCCGCGUGGGUGAAGAAGGUUUUCGGAUUGUAAAGCCCUUUCGGCGGGGACGAUGAUGACGGUACCCGCAGAAGAAGCCCCGGCUAACUUCGUGCCAGCAGCCGCGGUAAUACGAAGGGGGCUAGCGUUGCUCGGAAUGACUGGGCGUAAAGGGCGCGUAGGCGGACUGCACAGUCCGAUGUGAAAUUCCUGGGCUCAACCUGGGGGCUGCAUUGGAUACGUAUGGUCUUGAGUGGGGAAGAGGGUCGUGGAAUUCCCAGUGUAGAGGUGAAAUUCGUAGAUAUUGGGAAGAACACCGGUGGCGAAGGCGGCGACCUGGUCCUUAACUGACGCUGAGGCGCGAAAGCGUGGGGAGCAAACAGGAUUAGAUACCCUGGUAGUCCACGCUGUAAACGAUGUGCGCUGGAUGUUGGGCGGCCUAGCCGUUCAGUGUCGCAGCUAACGCGAUAAGCGCACCGCCUGGGGAGUACGGCC
RNAcentral lists this ribosomal RNA (515 nucleotides) under uncultured bacterium. RNAcentral's name for it is "bacterial SSU rRNA". It matches the Rfam family "Bacterial small subunit ribosomal RNA", at positions 355 to 887 of the family's 1533-position model. The record is from RNAcentral.